UAGGGAAUCUUCCACAAUGGACGCAAGUCUGAUGGAGCAACGCCGCGUGAGUGAAGAAGGUUUUCGGACCGUAAAGCUCUGUUGUUGGUGAAGAAGGAUAGAGGUAGUAACUGGCCUUUAUUUGACGGUAAUCAACCAGAAAGUCACGGCUAACUACGUGCCAGCAGCCGCGGUAAUACGUAGGUGGCAAGCGUUGUCCGGAUUUAUUGGGCGUAAAGCGAGCGCAGGCGGAAGAAUAAGUCUGAUGUGAAAGCCCUCGGCUUAACCGAGGAAUUGCAUCGGAAACUGUUUUCUUGAGUGCAGAAGAGGAGAGUAGAACUCCAUGUGUAGCGGUGGAAUGCGUAGAUAUAUGGAAGAAUACCAGUGGCGAAGGCGGCUCUCUGGUCUGCAACUGACGCUGAGGCUCGAAAGCAUGGGUAGCGAACAGGAUUAGAUACCCCUUGGU
Molecule: ribosomal RNA, 445 nt
Filed under: uncultured bacterium
Lineage: Bacteria
Description: partial 16S ribosomal RNA
Rfam family: Bacterial small subunit ribosomal RNA
Source: RNAcentral